This 1725-nucleotide ribosomal RNA is filed under the name Salmonella enterica. RNAcentral describes it as "partial 23S ribosomal RNA". It matches the Rfam family "Bacterial large subunit ribosomal RNA", at positions 121 to 1872 of the family's 2925-position model. Lineage: Bacteria; Pseudomonadati; Pseudomonadota; Gammaproteobacteria; Enterobacterales; Enterobacteriaceae. The record is from RNAcentral.
GGGAAACCCAGUGUGAUUCGUCACACUAUCAUUAACUGAAUCCAUAGGUUAAUGAGGCGAACCGGGGGAACUGAAACAUCUAAGUACCCCGAGGAAAAGAAAUCAACCGAGAUUCCCCCAGUAGCGGCGAGCGAACGGGGAGGAGCCCAGAGCCUGAAUCAGCAUGUGUGUUAGUGGAAGCGUCUGGAAAGGCGCGCGAUACAGGGUGACAGCCCCGUACACAAAAGCGCAUGUGCUGUGAGCUCGAUGAGUAGGGCGGGACACGUGGUAUCCUGUCUGAAUAUGGGGGGACCAUCCUCCAAGGCUAAAUACUCCUGACUGACCGAUAGUGAACCAGUACCGUGAGGGAAAGGCGAAAAGAACCCCGGCGAGGGGAGUGAAAAAGAACCUGAAACCGUGUACGUACAAGCAGUGGGAGCACCCUUUGGGUGUGACUGCGUACCUUUUGUAUAAUGGGUCAGCGACUUAUAUUCUGUAGCAAGGUUAACCGAAUAGGGGAGCCGGAGGGAAACCGAGUCUUAACCGGGCGUUAAGUUGCAGGGUAUAGACCCGAAACCCGGUGAUCUAGCCAUGGGCAGGUUGAAGGUUGGGUAACACUAACUGGAGGACCGAACCGACUAAUGUUGAAAAAUUAGCGGAUGACCUGUGGCUGGGGGUGAAAGGCCAAUCAAACCGGGAGAUAGCUGGUUCUCCCCGAAAGCUAUUUAGGUAGCGCCUCGUGAAUUCAUCUCCGGGGGUAGAGCACUGUUUCGGCUAGGGGGCCAUCCCGGCUUACCAACCCGAUGCAAACUGCGAAUACCGGAGAAUGUUAUCACGGGAGACACACGGCGGGUGCUAACGUCCGUCGUGAAGAGGGAAACAACCCAGACCGCCAGCUAAGGUCCCAAAGUCAUGGUUAAGUGGGAAACGAUGUGGGAAGGCCCAGACAGCCAGGAUGUUGGCUUAGAAGCAGCCAUCAUUUAAAGAAAGCGUAAUAGCUCACUGGUCGAGUCGGCCUGCGCGGAAGAUGUAACGGGGCUAAACCAUGCACCGAAGCUGCGGCAGCGACACUGUGUGUUGUUGGGUAGGGGAGCGUUCUGUAAGCCUGUGAAGGUGUGUCGUGAGGCAUGCUGGAGGUAUCAGAAGUGCGAAUGCUGACAUAAGUAACGAUAAAGCGGGUGAAAAGCCCGCUCGCCGGAAGACCAAGGGUUCCUGUCCAACGUUAAUCGGGGCAGGGUGAGUCGACCCCUAAGGCGAGGCCGAAAGGCGUAGUCGAUGGGAAACGGGUUAAUAUUCCCGUACUUGGUGUUACUGCGAAGGGGGGACGGAGAAGGCUAUGUUGGCCGGGCGACGGUUGUCCCGGUUUAAGCGUGUAGGUGUGUGUUCCAGGUAAAUCCGGUUCACUUUAACACUGAGGCGUGACGACGAGGCACUACGGUGCUGAAGCAACAAAUGCCCUGCUUCCAGGAAAAGCCUCUAAGCAUCAGGUAACAUCAAAUCGUACCCCAAACCGACACAGGUGGUCAGGUAGAGAAUACCAAGGCGCUUGAGAGAACUCGGGUGAAGGAACUAGGCAAAAUGGUGCCGUAACUUCGGGAGAAGGCACGCUGACACGUAGGUGAAGUGAUUUACUCAUGGAGCUGAAGUCAGUCGAAGAUACCAGCUGGCUGCAACUGUUUAUUAAAAACACAGCACUGUGCAAACACGAAAGUGGACGUAUACGGUGUGACGCCUGCCCGGUGCCGG